CAUGCAAGUCGAGCGAAUGACGAAGAAGCUUGCUUCUUCUGAUUUAGCGGCGGACGGGUGAGUAACACGUGGGCAACCUGCCCUGUAGAUUGGGAUAACUCCGGGAAACCGGGGCUAAUACCGAAUAAUCCAUUUCCUCACAUGAGGAAAUGUUAAAAGACGGUCUCGGCUGUCACUACAGGAUGGGCCCGCGGCGCAUUAGCUAGUUGGUGAGGUAACGGCUCACCAAGGCGACGAUGCGUAGCCGACCUGAGAGGGUGAUCGGCCACACUGGGACUGAGACACGGCCCAGACUCCUACGGGAGGCAGCAGUAGGGAAUCUUCCACAAUGGACGAAAGUCUGAUGGAGCAAUGCCGCGUGAGUGAAGAAGGUUUUCGGAUCGUAAAACUCUGUUGUGAGGGAAGAACAAGUACGAGAGUAACUGCUCGUACCUUGACGGUACCUCAUUAGAAAGCCACGGCUAACUACGUGCCAGCAGCCGCGGUAAUACGUAGGUGGCAAGCGUUGUCCGGAAUUAUUGGGCGUAAAGCGCGCGCAGGCGGUCCUUUAAGUCUGAUGUGAAAUCCCACGGCUCAACCGUGGAAGGUCAUUGGAAACUGGGGGACUUGAGUGCAGAAGAGGAAAGUGGAAUUCCAAGUGUAGCGGUGAAAUGCGUAGAGAUUUGGAGGAACACCAGUGGCGAAGGCGACUUUCUGGUCUGUAACUGACGCUGAGGCGCGAAAGCGUGGCGAGCAAACAGGAUUAGAUACUCUGGUAGUCCACGCCGUAAACGAUGAGUGCUAAGUGUUAGGGGGUUUCCGCCCCUUAGUGCUGCAGCUAACGCAUUAAGCACUCCGCCUGGGGAGUACGGUCGCAAGACUGAAACUCAAAGGAAUUGACGGGGGCUCGCACAAGC
This 896-nucleotide ribosomal RNA is filed under the name Psychrobacillus soli. RNAcentral describes it as "bacterial SSU rRNA". It matches the Rfam family "Bacterial small subunit ribosomal RNA", at positions 54 to 930 of the family's 1533-position model. The record is from RNAcentral. Lineage: Bacteria; Bacillati; Bacillota; Bacilli; Caryophanales; Bacillaceae.